This 478-nucleotide ribosomal RNA is filed under the name Exidia uvapassa. Its description in RNAcentral is "eukaryotic LSU rRNA". It matches the Rfam family "Eukaryotic large subunit ribosomal RNA", at positions 114 to 593 of the family's 3401-position model. Lineage: Eukaryota; Fungi; Basidiomycota; Agaricomycetes; Auriculariales; Exidiaceae. The record is from RNAcentral.
UUUGAAUCUGGCGGUCUACGGCCGUCCGAGUUGUAAUCUAGAGAGGUGUUUUCCGUGCCGGACCGUGUACAAGUCCCUUGGAACAGGGCGUCAUAGAGGGUGAGAAUCCCGUCCAUGACACGGACUCCCGGUGCUCUGUGAUACACCUUCAAAGAGUCGAGUUGUUUGGGAAUGCAGCUCAAAAUGGGUGGUAAAUUCCAUCUAAAGCUAAAUACAGGCGAGAGACCGAUAGCGAACAAGUACCGUGAGGGAAAGAUGAAAAGAACUUUGGAAAGAGAGUUAAACAGUACGUGAAAUUGUUGAAAGGGAAACGCUUGAAGUCAGUCGCGUCUGCCAGGACUCAGCCUUGCUUCUGCUUGGUGCAAUUCUUGGUGGAUGGGCCAGCAUCGAUUUUGGUCGCCGGAAAAGGGCGGGAGGAAGGUGGCAGCUUCUGCUGUGUUAUAGCCUCUCGUCGUACACGGUGUCUGGGAUCGAGGAC